RNAcentral lists this ribosomal RNA (304 nucleotides) under Alloprevotella tannerae. Its description in RNAcentral is "bacterial SSU rRNA". It matches the Rfam family "Bacterial small subunit ribosomal RNA", at positions 151 to 453 of the family's 1533-position model. The record is from RNAcentral. Lineage: Bacteria; Pseudomonadati; Bacteroidota; Bacteroidia; Bacteroidales; Prevotellaceae.
GCGAAAGCAAGAUUAAUAUCUGAUGGUCUCAGUGUAUGCAUGUAUGAUUGAGUAAAGGCUUCGGACGGUGAUGGAUGGCGGUGCGUCCCAUUAGGAAGUUGGCGGGGUAACGGCCCACCAAUCCUUCGAUGGGUAGGGGUUCUGAGAGGAAGGUCCCCCACAUUGGAACUGAGAUACGGUCCAAACUCCUACGGGAGGCAGCAGUGAGGAAUAUUGGUCAAUGGGCGAGAGCCUGAACCAGCCAAGUAGCGUGCGGGAUGAAGGCCCUUGUGGUCGUAAACCGCUUUUAUCAGUGAAUAAAGUG